GACGAACGCUGGCGGCGUGCUUAACACAUGCAAGUCGUACGGUAAGGCCCUUCCGGGGUUCCCCGGUGGGGGAGCGGUUGGGUAACAAGUAAGUAACUUGCCCACACUUUUGGGUUAACGCAGGGAAACUGGUGCUAUUCCUGAAUAGUUGCGCUUUCUGCCUGGUGGGGGUGGGAAGGCUCCGGGGGUUUGGGAUGGAUUGGCGGCCUAUCAGUUUGUUGGUGGGGUAGGGGCCUACCAAGGCGGGGACGGGUGGCCGGCCUGGGAGGGUGACCGGCCAAAUUGGGAAUGGGAUACGGCCCAGACUCCUACGGGAGGCAGCAGUGGGGAAUAUUGCACAAUGGGCGCAAGCCUGAUGCAGCAACGCCGCGGGCGGGAUGACGGCCUUCGGGUUGUAAACCGCUUUCAGCAGGGACGAAGCUGUUUGUGACGGUACCUGCAGAAGAAGCACCGGCUAACUACGUG
RNAcentral lists this ribosomal RNA (465 nucleotides) under uncultured bacterium. RNAcentral describes it as "partial 16S ribosomal RNA". It matches the Rfam family "Bacterial small subunit ribosomal RNA", at positions 28 to 507 of the family's 1533-position model. The record is from RNAcentral.